GCUGGCGUAGCUCAAUUGGCAGAGCAACUGACUUGUAAUCAGUAGGUUGGGGGUUCAAGUCCUCUCGCCAGCUCCA
This 76-nucleotide transfer RNA is filed under the name Vibrio parahaemolyticus. RNAcentral's name for it is "tRNA-Thr". It matches the Rfam family "tRNA". Rfam says of the family: Transfer RNA (tRNA) molecules are approximately 80 nucleotides in length. Their secondary structure includes four short double-helical elements and three loops (D, anti-codon, and T loops). Lineage: Bacteria; Pseudomonadati; Pseudomonadota; Gammaproteobacteria; Vibrionales; Vibrionaceae. The record is from RNAcentral. RNAcentral also lists the same sequence under 5 other names.